AACGAACGCUGGCGGCAGGCCUAACACAUGCAAGUCGAACGCUCCGCAAGGGGCGUGGCGCACGGGUGAGUAACACGUGGGAACAUGCCCUUGGGUACGGAAUAACGGCGGGAAACUGCCGAUAAUACCGUAUGAUGUUUUCGGACAAAAGAUUUAUCGCCCAAGGAUUGGCCCGCGUCUGAUUAGCUAGUUGGUGGGGUAAUGGCCUACCAAGGCUACGAUCAGUAGCUGGUCUGAGAGGACGACCAGCCACACUGGGACUGAGACACGGCCCAGACUCCUACGGGAGGCAGCAGUGGGGAAUAUUGGACAAUGGGGGAAACCCUGAUCCAGCCAUGCCGCGUGAGUGCUAAGGCCUUCGGGUUGUAAAACUCUUUCGCGAGGGAAGAUAAUGACGGUACCUCGAGAAGAAGCUCCGGCUAACUUCGUGCCAGCCGCCGCCGUAA
RNAcentral lists this ribosomal RNA (446 nucleotides) under uncultured bacterium. RNAcentral describes it as "partial 16S ribosomal RNA". It matches the Rfam family "Bacterial small subunit ribosomal RNA", at positions 29 to 523 of the family's 1533-position model. The record is from RNAcentral.